GUGGGGAAUAUUGGACAAUGGGCGAAAGCCUGAUCCAGCCAUGCCGCGUGUGUGAAGAAGGUCUUCGGAUUGUAAAGCACUUUAAGUUGGGAGGAAGGGCAGUAAGUUAAUACCUUGCUGUUUUGACGUUACCGACAGAAUAAGCACCGGCUAACUUCGUGCCAGCAGCCGCAGUAAUACGAAGGGUGCAAGCGUUAAUCGGAAUUACUGGGCGUAAAGCGCGCGUAGGUGGUUCAGCAAGUUGGAGGUGAAAUCCCCGGGCUCAACCUGGGAACUGCCUCCAAAACUACUGAGCUAGAGUACGGUAGAGGGUAGUGGAAUUUCCUGUGUAGCGGUGAAAUGCGUAGAUAUAGGAAGGAACACCAGUGGCGAAGGCGACUACCUGGACUGAUACUGACACUGAGGUGCGAAAGCGUGGGGAGCAAACAGGAUUAGAUACCCCUGUAGUCC
This 450-nucleotide ribosomal RNA is filed under the name uncultured bacterium. RNAcentral's name for it is "partial 16S ribosomal RNA". It matches the Rfam family "Bacterial small subunit ribosomal RNA", at positions 354 to 796 of the family's 1533-position model. The record is from RNAcentral.